UUGAACGCUGGCGGCAGGCCUAACACAUGCAAGUCGAACGGUAACAGGAAACAGCUUGCUGUUUCGCUGACGAGUGGCGGACGGGUGAGUAAUGUCUGGGAAACUGCCUGAUGGAGGGGGAUAACUACUGGAAACGGUAGCUAAUACCGCAUAACGUCGCAAGACCAAAGAGGGGGACCUUCGGGCCUCUUGCCAUCGGAUGUGCCCAGAUGGGAUUAGCUAGUAGGUGGGGUAACGGCUCACCUAGGCGACGAUCCCUAGCUGGUCUGAGAGGAUGACCAGCCACACUGGAACUGAGACACGGUCCAGACUCCUACGGGAGGCAGCAGUGGGGAAUAUUGCACAAUGGGCGCAAGCCUGAUGCAGCCAUGCCGCGUGUAUGAAGAAGGCCUUCGGGCUGUAAAGUACUUUCAGCGGGGAUGAAGGGAGUAAAGUUAAUACCUUUGCUCAUUGACGUUACCCGCAGAAGAAGCACCGGCUAACUCCGUG
This 489-nucleotide ribosomal RNA is filed under the name uncultured bacterium. RNAcentral describes it as "partial 16S ribosomal RNA". It matches the Rfam family "Bacterial small subunit ribosomal RNA", at positions 30 to 507 of the family's 1533-position model. The record is from RNAcentral.